UAGAGUUUGAUCCUGGCUCAGGACGAACGCUGGCGGCACGCUUAACACAUGCAGUCGAACGAGCGAAAGGUGCUUGCACCUCUAGCUAGUGGCGGACGGGUGAGUAACACGUGAGCAAUCUGCCUUUCGGUGGGGGGUACCAAUUGGAAACGAUUGUUAAUACCCCCUAAACAUAACGAAGCCCCAUGACUUUGUUUUCAAAAAUUUAUUUGCCGGAAAAAAAAGCUCCCCGCUCGAUUAAGUAGUUGGUGAGGUAACGGCUCACCAAGCCGACAAUAAAUAACCCGACUGAGAAGUUGAACGGCCCCCUUGGGACGGAGAAACGGGCCAAACUCCUACUGGAGGCGCCAGUGGGAAAAUAGCACAAUGGGGGGAAAACCUGAUGGACCCAUCCCCCGUGGGGGGAAAAAAGUUUUUUGAUUUGUAACCCCUUGUCUUUUGGGGCGAUGAUAGAGAGUCCCCACGGAGGGAAGGUCCCGCUAUAUUAUAUGGCAC
RNAcentral lists this ribosomal RNA (495 nucleotides) under uncultured bacterium. RNAcentral's name for it is "partial 16S ribosomal RNA". It matches the Rfam family "Bacterial small subunit ribosomal RNA", at positions 1 to 511 of the family's 1533-position model. The record is from RNAcentral.